UGCCACUUACAUGCUUUUAAAGGAUCUU
RNAcentral lists this non-coding RNA (28 nucleotides) under Rattus norvegicus (Norway rat). Lineage: Eukaryota; Metazoa; Chordata; Mammalia; Rodentia; Muridae. The record is from RNAcentral.